GCGGCAAAAGCUCAAAUUUGAAAUCUAGCACCUUCGGUGUUCGAGUUGUAAUUUGAAGAUGGUAACCUUGGGUUUGGCUCUUGUCUAUGUUCCUUGGAACAGGACGUCAUAGAGGGUGAGAAUCCCGUCUGAUGAGAUGCCCAUUCCUAUGUAAGGUGCUAUCGAAGAGUCGAGUUGUUUGGGAAUGCAGCUCUAAGUGGGUGGUAAAUUCCAUCUAAAGCUAAAUAUUGGCGAGAGACCGAUAGCGAACAAGUACAGUGAUGGAAAGAUGAAAAGAACUUUGAAAAGAGAGUGAAAAAGUACGUGAAAUUGUUGAAAGGGAAGGGCAUUAGAUCAGACUUGGUGUUUUACGAUUAUCUUCUCUUCUUGAGCUGUGCACUCGUAUUUCACUGGGCCAGCAUCGAUUCGGAUGGCAAGAUAAUGGCAGUUGAAUGUGGCUUCACUUCGGUGGAGUGUUAUAGCUUCUGCUGAUAUUGCCUGUCUGGAUCGAGGGCUGCGUCUUUUGACUAGGAUGCUGGCGUAAUGAUCUAAUGC
This 534-nucleotide ribosomal RNA is filed under the name Wickerhamomyces sp. Its description in RNAcentral is "eukaryotic LSU rRNA". It matches the Rfam family "Eukaryotic large subunit ribosomal RNA", at positions 98 to 645 of the family's 3401-position model. Lineage: Eukaryota; Fungi; Ascomycota; Saccharomycetes; Phaffomycetales; Wickerhamomycetaceae. The record is from RNAcentral.